RNAcentral lists this ribosomal RNA (34 nucleotides) under Carya glabra (pignut hickory). RNAcentral's name for it is "partial 26S ribosomal RNA". The record is from RNAcentral. RNAcentral also lists the same sequence under 1 other name. Lineage: Eukaryota; Viridiplantae; Streptophyta; Magnoliopsida; Fagales; Juglandaceae.
CGCGACCCCAGGUCAGGCGGGAUUACCCGCUGAA